GAUGAACGCUGGCGGCGUGCCUAAUACAUGCAAGUCGAGCGAACAGAUGAGGAGCUUGCUCCUCUGACGUUAGCGGCGGGCGGGUGAGUAACACGUGGAUAACCUACCUAUAAGACUGGGAUAACUUCGGGAAACCGGAGCUAAUACCGGAUAAUAUAUUGAACCGCAUGGUUCAAUAGUGAAAGACGGUUUUGCUGUCACUUAUAGAUGGAUCCGCGCCGCAUUAGCUAGUUGGUAGGGUAACGGCUUACCAAGGCAACGAUGCGUAGCCGACCUGAGAGGGUGAUCGGCCACACGGGAACUGAGAAACGGUCCAGACUCCGAAGGGAGGCAGCAGGAGGGAAUCUUCCGCAAUGGGCGAAAGCUUGACGGAGCAACGCCGCGUGAGUGAUGAAGGUCUUCGGAUCGUAAAACUCUGUUAUGAGGGAAGAAAAAAUGUGUAAGUAACUAUGCACGUCUGGACGGUACCUAAUAAGAAAGCCACGGCUAACUACGGG
RNAcentral lists this ribosomal RNA (497 nucleotides) under uncultured bacterium. RNAcentral's name for it is "partial 16S ribosomal RNA". It matches the Rfam family "Bacterial small subunit ribosomal RNA", at positions 28 to 507 of the family's 1533-position model. The record is from RNAcentral.